CUGCCUCCCAAGAGACCCGAGCUCUGCAGUGGCUUCCCACGCCUGCCACGGUGCGUGGUCCCAAACAGAUGCGCCGCAGACAGCAGGAGCCUUGGAUGACCCUGGUGUCGGGGUGCUCACUACCUCUCACUGGUGAUUAUCCUGAUCAUUAGAAGGCAGCAUUUGGCUCCAUCCAUCUCCAGCCUCUGUGUGCCCCCCACCCAGCAGCUGAGAAUGACCCCCUUUCCCACGCCAGGCAAGUCCCCAGAGGGAGCUUUGGCUGGAAGAAGAAGCUACCAGACUGGGGGCCAAGAGAGGGGAGACGCUGGUGAGGGACAACAGUGGCUCAGUGUUUUCCAGGAAGGCUGGAGUGCACGAAGAAUGCAAAGGUGCACGGGCUAGCGGUUCACUCGGCCCUCUGCCUCAUCUUUCUUCUUUUUCAAGAAAUGGUACAUUUUUAACACCAUCUUGGAACGCUUCCCACAGGACCCAGUAAGCCGCUUCUAGAUAUUUUCCCGAGAAAAAUAAAACCUCGUGUUCCCACGAAUGUUUACAGUGGUGUUGUUCGUAAUCGCCAACAACUAGAUACAGUCUUACAUGACCGUCAGUGGGUGACUGGAAAACAGUAGCGGAAUAACUUAUA
Molecule: long non-coding RNA, 622 nt
Organism: Lynx canadensis (Canada lynx)
Lineage: Eukaryota; Metazoa; Chordata; Mammalia; Carnivora; Felidae
Exons: 3
Source: RefSeq, a predicted model, not a curated record